RNAcentral lists this small nucleolar RNA (138 nucleotides) under Eurypyga helias (sunbittern). RNAcentral's name for it is "Small nucleolar RNA SNORA15". It matches the Rfam family "Small nucleolar RNA SNORA15". Rfam says of the family: ACA15 is a member of the H/ACA class of snoRNA that guide the sites of modification of uridines to pseudouridines. Lineage: Eukaryota; Metazoa; Chordata; Aves; Eurypygiformes; Eurypygidae. The record is from Rfam by way of RNAcentral.
GCACGGCCGAAUUCCGCACGAGCUUUCCUCAGUAGCUGAUGUGGUCAGACACUGUGCCAGAACAAAUUCCUCGCUUGCACUCCGAUUGGUAUGCAUUUUACCUGAGAACGGGCAUGCCCUGGGAAGCGGGGUACACGG